This is a non-coding RNA of Gossypium raimondii (Peruvian cotton), 143 nucleotides long. NCBI's taxonomy places the organism in Eukaryota, Viridiplantae, Streptophyta, Magnoliopsida, Malvales, Malvaceae. The record is from Rfam.
UAUUAAAAAUUUCAUCCAUUUGUACUGUAAAAAAUUGACGUGAUUGACAAAAUAAUCAAAAGUGACAUGUACUGUGCCAUGUGUACCCCAUGUUGGCAUAUAGGGACUAAUUUUUAACAAUAAGAUGGAUGUAAUUUUUAACA